Teleopsis dalmanni is the source of this 813-nucleotide long non-coding RNA. RefSeq lists it as uncharacterized. The transcript is spliced from 3 exons. NCBI's taxonomy places the organism in Eukaryota, Metazoa, Arthropoda, Insecta, Diptera, Diopsidae. The record is from RefSeq and is a predicted model, not a curated record.
UUUAUUUGCUGUGAAAAUUGUCUGUGUAUUUUGUUUUAAAAUUCGGUUAAACUUCGCUGUGGUAUUAGAAACAGCAAAGCAGCAAACAGCAGUGAUCGAAUGUUAAUAAGAAAGUGUAAAUAUUUAUAUUUUAGUAAUAUUGUUAAAUAUUAUAAGAACUCGCUUCUUAAGUACAAAAACUAAAAGCAAAAAAAAAAACAAAAAUAAGCAAACGAUAAUCAAAUGUCUCGCCGCCACGUUAUGUAAACGAAAAUCGCAGCAAAAGUAUCUCAUAGAUGCAGCAACAGCAGGCAGCAGGCACCAGGCACAGGCAGCAUCAAACAAAACACCAAAAAGCAACAAAAACAAUAAAAAUAAAAGGCAAUUGAUCAAAUAUUAAUCAAUGCUGCCAGCAUCAAUUUUAAGCUACAUAAUUUGACUACAACAAUAACAAUAAGAACAAUAACAUCAACAACAUCAACAGCAUCAACAACAUCUGUAAUAAUAAUAAUAACAACAACAAGAAGAACAAAGAAUUCAUAAUUAAAAUAGCAAACUCGUUAAGCUGCAGUCAAUAAUUACAAAAUAUUACGUGACUGAUAUACUAAAAAUUUGCGAGUGUAAGGAGUCUUAAUACAGCUUUAACGCUGGCGAACCGACAAGGUACUGUGCCCGUCAUAAUGGAGGGGCCAGAAGUGACGUUUCUCUUUCAAUUCGGCAGCAUACGUGAUGCCGUUUCGGUGGCCGUAAAUGCCUUAACGCUUAAAACAUUAAAGGAUUUGGCAUGCGAAUUUAUCAACACAAAGAUACCAGAUAGUGGACUAACGUACCUAU